UGUGUCGGGGUUGCGCUGACAGAGGAGCAGGCAGCAGGAAAUACAGUAGCAGCCAUGAUAGAAGACAAAGGACCAAGAGUGACAGACUACUUUGUUGUAGCUGGUCUCACUGACACAUCUACUCUUUUGGAUCAAGAAAUAAAUCGUUUAGAUACUAAGUCAACUGGACCUAAAGCUCCAAUUACAGACAUUGCCGUUAUUAUCAAAUCAGCUGGAGAAACAGUACCUGAAGGUUACACCUGUGUAGAAGCCACUCCAUCAGCUCUCCAAGCAAACUUGAACUAUGGAAGUCUGAAAAGCCCAGAACUUUUCCUCUGUUAUAAGAGAGGGAGAGAUAAACCACCGCUUACAGACAUUGGGUAUGGUGACUUAUUUUCUUUGCUAUAGUGAAGGAAUAAAAUUUAUUUAAGGGCCGUGGAAGUAGGAAUUUGAAAUCCUUGAUAGUUUUAUUAUUACUGAUAGUUUAUUAUUAUUGAUAGUUUUAUGGUUACUUCAGGAUUCAUUAUAGUAAUUUAUUACAUGCCAGUAUCCACCCUUACUGAAUUUCUUUG
This 551-nucleotide small RNA is filed under the name Pongo abelii (Sumatran orangutan). RNAcentral's name for it is "retained intron". Lineage: Eukaryota; Metazoa; Chordata; Mammalia; Primates; Hominidae. The record is from RNAcentral.